CAACCUGAGAGUUUGAUCCUGGCUCAGAGCGAACGCUGGCGGCAGGCCUAACACAUGCAAGUCGAACGGACCCUUCGGGGUUAGUGGCGGACGGGUGAGUAACACGUGGGAACGUGCCUUUAGGUUCGGAAUAGCUCCUGGAAACGGGUGGUAAUGCCGAAUGUGCCCUUCGGGGGAAAGAUUUAUCGCCUUUAGAGCGGCCCGCGUCUGAUUAGCUUGUUGGUGGGGUAAUGGCCCACCAAGGCUACGAUCAGUAGCUGGUCUGAGAGGAUGACCAGCCACACUGGAACUGAGAUACGGUCCAGACUCCUACGGGAGGCAGCAGUGGGGAAUCUUGCGCAAUGGGCGAAAGCCUGACGCAGCCAUGCCGCGUGUAUGAUGAAGGUCU
This 388-nucleotide ribosomal RNA is filed under the name Brevundimonas sp. RNAcentral's name for it is "bacterial SSU rRNA". It matches the Rfam family "Bacterial small subunit ribosomal RNA", at positions 1 to 417 of the family's 1533-position model. Lineage: Bacteria; Pseudomonadati; Pseudomonadota; Alphaproteobacteria; Caulobacterales; Caulobacteraceae. The record is from RNAcentral.